RNAcentral lists this ribosomal RNA (898 nucleotides) under uncultured bacterium. RNAcentral's name for it is "bacterial SSU rRNA". It matches the Rfam family "Bacterial small subunit ribosomal RNA", at positions 9 to 916 of the family's 1533-position model. The record is from RNAcentral.
GAGUUUGAUCCUGGCUCAGGAUGAACGCUGGCGGCGUGCUUAACACAUGCAAGUCGAGCGAAAAUAAUUGAGAGCUUGCUUUUGAUUAUUUUAGCGGCGGACGGGUGAGUAACGUGUGGGCAACCUACCUUUUACUGUGGAAUAAUCGUUGGAAACGACGACUAAUACCGCAUACGAUUUUCUGAAGGCAUCUUUGGGAAAAGAAAGGAAAUAUUCGGUAAAAGAUGGGCCCGCAUCUGAUUAGCUAGUUGGUGAGAUAAUAGCCCACCAAGGCAACGAUCAGUAGCCGACCUGAGAGGGUGACCGGCCACAUUGGGACUGAGACACGGCCCAAACUCCUACGGGAGGCAGCAGUGGGGAAUAUUGCACAAUGGGCGAAAGCCUGAUGCAGCAACGCCGCGUGAAGGAAGACGGUUUUCGGAUUGUAAACUUCUAUCAAUAGGGAAGAAAGAAAUGACGGUACCUAAAUAAGAAGCCCCGGCUAACUACGUGCCAGCAGCCGCGGUAAUACGUAGGGGGCAAGCGUUAUCCGGAAUUACUGGGUGUAAAGGGAGAGUAGGCGGCAAGGUAAGCGAUAUGUGAAAGCCUUAAGCUUAACUUAAGGAUGGCAUAACGAACUAUCUAGCUAGAGUACAGGAGAGGAAAGCGGAGUUCCUAGUGUAGCGGUGAAAUGCGUAGAUAUUAGGAAGAACACCAGUGGCGAAGGCGGCUUUCUGGACUGAAACUGACGCUGAGGCUCGAAAGCGUGGGGAGCGAACAGGAUUAGAUACCCUGGUAGUCCACGCUGUAAACGAUGAGUGCUAGGUGUCGGGGAGGAAUUCCCGGUGCCGGAGCAAACGCAAUAAGCACUCCACCUGGGGAGUACGACCGCAAGGUUGAAACUCAAAGGAAUUGACGG